GACGAACGCUGGCGGCGUGCUUAACACAUGCAAGUCGAACGGUAAGGCUCCAGCUUGCUGGGGUACACGAGUGGCGAACGGGUGAGUAACACGUGGGUGACCUGCCCUGCACUUCGGGAUAAGCCUGGGAAACUGGGUCUAAUACCGGAUAGGACCAUGGUGUGGAUACUGUGGUGGAAAGUUUUUUCGGUGUGGGAUGAGCCCGCGGCCUAUCAGCUUGUUGGUGGGGUAAUGGCCUACCAAGGCGGCGACGGGUAGCCGGCCUGAGAGGGUGGACGGCCACAUUGGGACUGAGACACGGCCCAGACUCCUACGGGAGGCAGCAGUGGGGAAUAUUGCACAAUGGGCGGAAGCCUGAUGCAGCGACGCCGCGUGGGGGAUGACGGCCUUCGGGUUGUAAACUCCUUUCACCAUCGACGAAGGGUUUCUGACGGUAGAUGGAGAAGAAGCACCGGCUAACUACGUG
Molecule: ribosomal RNA, 466 nt
Filed under: uncultured bacterium
Lineage: Bacteria
Description: partial 16S ribosomal RNA
Rfam family: Bacterial small subunit ribosomal RNA
Source: RNAcentral